RNAcentral lists this ribosomal RNA (305 nucleotides) under uncultured Pseudomonas sp. Its description in RNAcentral is "bacterial SSU rRNA". It matches the Rfam family "Bacterial small subunit ribosomal RNA", at positions 1075 to 1374 of the family's 1533-position model. The record is from RNAcentral. Lineage: Bacteria; Pseudomonadati; Pseudomonadota; Gammaproteobacteria; Pseudomonadales; Pseudomonadaceae.
UUGGGUUAAGUCCCGUAACGAGCGCAACCCUUGUCCUUAGUUACCAGCACGUUAUGGUGGGCACUCUAAGGAGACUGCCGGUGACAAACCGGAGGAAGGUGGGGAUGACGUCAAGUCAUCAUGGCCCUUACGGCCUGGGCUACACACGUGCUACAAUGGUCGGUACAAAGGGUUGCCAAGCCGCGAGGUGGAGCUAAUCCCAUAAAACCGAUCGUAGUCCGGAUCGCAGUCUGCAACUCGACUGCGUGAAGUCGGAAUCGCUAGUAAUCGUGAAUCAGAAUGUCACGGUGAAUACGUUCCGGCUU